AUUGAACGCUGGCGGCAUGCUUUACACAUGCAAGUCGAACGGCAGCGCGGGCUUCGGCCUGGCGGCGCGUGGCGAACGGGCGAGUAAUACACCGGAACGUGCCCAGUCGUGGGGGAUAGCUCGGCGACAGCCGGAUUAAUAUCGCAUACGACCUGAGGGUGAAAGCGGGGGAUCUUCGGACCUCGCGCGAUUGGAGCGGCCGAUGGCAGAUUAGCUAGUUGGUGGGGUAAAGGCCUACCAAGGCGACGAUCUGUAGCUGCUCUGAGAGGACGACCUGCCACACUGGGACUGAGACACGGUCCAGACUCCUACGGGAGGCAGCAGUGGGGAAUUUUGGGCAAUGGGCGAAAGCCUGAUCCAGCAAUGCCGCGUGUGUGAUGAAGGCCUUCGGGUUGUAAAGCACUUUUGGCGGGAACGAAAAGGACUGUGCCAAUACCACGGUUCGAUGACGGUACCCGCAGAAUAAGCACCGGCUAACUACGUG
RNAcentral lists this ribosomal RNA (484 nucleotides) under uncultured bacterium. Its description in RNAcentral is "partial 16S ribosomal RNA". It matches the Rfam family "Bacterial small subunit ribosomal RNA", at positions 28 to 507 of the family's 1533-position model. The record is from RNAcentral.